Molecule: long non-coding RNA, 121 nt
Organism: Herpailurus yagouaroundi (jaguarundi)
Lineage: Eukaryota; Metazoa; Chordata; Mammalia; Carnivora; Felidae
Exons: 3
Source: RefSeq, a predicted model, not a curated record
UCAUCCUCAAAAACCAAUUUUAUAGAAAAAACUAAAAGGCUACACUCAGGACAGUAGUUAUUUCUGGAGAAAAUGGUCCACAGCAGACCUUAGCUAUGCUCGUAACAUUUCUCUGAAACUA